This is a non-coding RNA of Hypoxylon trugodes, 93 nucleotides long. The record is from the annotation of a RefSeq genome assembly. Lineage: Eukaryota; Fungi; Ascomycota; Sordariomycetes; Xylariales; Hypoxylaceae.
GGCGCAGUGGCGGAGUGGUCUAACGCGCAAGACUAGAAUGCAUUCUGCGAUCUUGUUCCUUCGGGAGCGUCUGUUCGAAUCAGGCCUGCGUCG